AACCAGCACCUCAAGUGGUCAGGAUGAUUAUUGGGCCUAAAGCAUCCGUAGCCGGCUCUGUAAGUUUUCGGUUAAAUCUGUACGCUCAACGUACAGGCUGCCGGGAAUACUGCAGAGCUAGGGAGUGGGAGAGGUAGACGGUACUCGGUAGGAAGGGGUAAAAUCCUUUGAUCUAUUGAUGACCACCUGUGGCGAAGGCGGUCUACCAGAACAUGUUCGACGGUGAGGGAUGAAAGCUGGGGGAGCAAACCGG
RNAcentral lists this ribosomal RNA (253 nucleotides) under uncultured archaeon. RNAcentral's name for it is "partial 16S ribosomal RNA". It matches the Rfam family "Archaeal small subunit ribosomal RNA", at positions 474 to 727 of the family's 1478-position model. The record is from RNAcentral.